Long non-coding RNA from Cyanistes caeruleus (blue tit), 4230 nucleotides. RefSeq lists it as uncharacterized. The record is from RefSeq and is a predicted model, not a curated record. NCBI's taxonomy places the organism in Eukaryota, Metazoa, Chordata, Aves, Passeriformes, Paridae.
UUUAUUAACAUGGGCAAGGGGUACCUAGAGCCUUGUUCUGAGGAAUGGAGAAACCAUAUGGGAGAAGUUUUCCCCAGACACAUUUGGCUUGAGGUAGGUACCACUAUUUCGAAUUUACCAGCAACAGGAAAUUAUCUGUUAUAAUAUGAAGCAACAUUGGAUUAAAGUGUUUGAGUAACAUCAGAAUAAAGUAAGUUCUUGAGUGAGUACAAAACUGGAUUGUGAAUAUUCUGGCUUGUUGCAAUUUGUGGCUAAAACACAUGGUCAUGUUUGCACUGCAUUGGGCUAGCAAGGAGUGAAAUGGCUGCUUAUGAAAUCUCUCACUCCUCCCUCACAUUUCCCUUGGACUGAAAACAAGUCAUGAAAUCUUCACUCACCCCUCUGUGCUAUUCCCUGUUCUUCCAGAGAAACACAGGAAUUUCUCAAAUUCCUCCCUUAUUCCCCUUAGAAGAACUUGGGUCCUAUCUCCCUUUCUCUCUUGCUGCAAGUCACCCAGACCAUACACAUACAAGCUGUCAUUCACAUGCUGAAACACACAGGACAUCUCUAGUGCUGGUCAAAGUGUGGUUAACAUUGAAUUCAGACUCUGUUUCUCAGGGUGUCAUCUUGUUGGGUCUUGAAAACAGCCAGUGAUGGAGAUUUCACAGCGUCUCUGGGGAUCCUAUUCCUUUGUCUUUGUUGAAUUUCAUAGUCUUCCUUCCUUAGCAUAUUGCUUCAGCCUGCCUAUGUCCAGUGGAAGAGAAGCCCUGCACCUGAGCAUACCAACUUCAUCACCACAGUUUACUGUCAUGUGCAAAACUGGAAGGGUUGCAUGCUAGUUCCUCCUCCAGCUCACAGAUAGAUUAAAUAUUACAGGACCCAAGACUAACACCUGAGAGACUACACUUGUAACCAAAGUCCAGGGUAGGGCGAGUGAAUGACCCUUGUGGGUGCCUGGCAUUUGUCCAGCGUUGGCCAACACCACCACGACAGUUGUUGUUGUGAUGAAGCACCCAGAGAUAGCUCCAGUUUCAAGUACAUUAUGCCCACACUAAGAGGGAGGGGAUCAAGACAACAGAGUGGAGAAAAAGAGAAGCGGAUUUACCUUUAAAUGACUGACAGUGGAAUCAAUCAGUUACAAAGCAGCACAUGCAUCAAAGCCCAGAGAAUAACUGCUUGAAAAUUUUGAAUUCUUUUCCAAAAGAGAUGUUUUCCAGAAAAGAAGUACAGAAAUGUCUUAACAAUUGGCAUUUCUUUCAAAUAGCUCUUGGGGCAACUUGCCAUGAUUUUAAUAACUGGUUCUCCCAGAUUGAACCAAGGCACCUUCAAGCCCAGCUCUAAACCUCUGAUUGGUGUUACAUUUUCUCCUUCUGCUCUGGCCAGGAUGGAGAUAACUCGCUGCAUCCUCCUGCCAGUGGCAAAUUCCAUGCUCUCUAGAAGAAAGAGCAAACAAAGAUUGUGGCAAGGGCAAGAGGGCAGGGCAGAUAACUGUAACUAGGGCAGCUGCCACACCUCAUCCUGCCUGUAACUCUGGAUCUGAGCUGCUGUGUUCCUGAGCAACGCUGGAGGCACUGACAGUCCAUUUUCCCUCGGGCUCACUGGUACUCUGGGAUAGCUGUGGGUGGGAAACCUAAAAGAUCACUUAAAUUUUUAAUUAGGCUUGAACAGGUGUCAAUACCUUAAAAGAGGAAAAGGAUUAAAAAUUCUAGUAUAAGAGCCAAAGGAUAUGUUUGUUGCCAGGGUUAAACAAGAAUGUGAAGGAAGAUUUGUGCCUGGAGCAGGUACUUGCAUGGAUCUGACAGUGGAGAAGAAGGAGGUUGUCACAGAGGAACUUCAUUCAGCCCCUGCCCAAACCCCAGGCUCUGCUUGUACAUAAAUGGGGCUUGUGUUAUCACCUCGUCAACAAUGGCUGGGCAGCCCAAAGAAGGUCCCUGCUCAACGUCCCAGGGAGCUGCUUCAGAAGCCACCAACAGCACCAGUUUUAUUUAUUUUCAGCCAUACUUCCAAAUUCUUCCUGGAGUCUUACAAAGAGCAAGCCCUUCUCAAAAAAGCUUACAAACCAACACCAAACAGAAAACUACUCAUUUCAGCAGCUCAGCUGAAGGCCCAAGGACAGGACUGGUGAGUUCAAAGAACAGUACUGGAGAUGUUUUUCAAACUUCAAGCCUUUACCUUGGACUGUCUUAAUUUUAUUGGAUCGCUUUUGUGCUGCAUUCUGGACCCUCCUGCUGUCUGCUCCUCUGCAUCAGCUUAUCUUGUCUGUUUGAGAACCAUCAUAUUAUGUUUAACAGAGUUUUUACUUUGGAAGGAACUACUACUGGUAAAGAGGACUGCUGCCUGCUGAACAUCCAAGGAAGAAGUUUUUCUCUUGGGAAAUACUCUGAGCAGGGAGAAGGCAGCCAGAAGCUCAGCAAUCCUCCUUUAAUCCAAGGCAUGGAGCAGUCCUCUUGCCUGCUGAGGACUGUCACUCAGCCUGACAAGAAGGCACAGGAGAGGCAGGAGGUGCCAAUUCCCACAGAAGCCUAAGGACAACACGACAGCUCACACUGAUCUCAUCGCAGGAACACUCGCACCAGGAAGUCAGAGGCACCUGUAGCAGGCUCCUGCCUCACCUUCUCUUGUGUCAUGGAUUAUUUGCCAAAUAGAUUUUAUGUCUCUGGAUGAAAUUUGAGCCCAUAAAGAAGCACUGCAAGUCUGAAAGCCUUGAAAUGGACAGGGCAUUCUAGUCUUGUUGUUCUGUAUCCAGUUAUUAUUUGACAGUAGAAGGGAAGAUGAUAAUUAAUCUGAGAUUCAAAAAAAGAAAGCAUAAGUGGGGAAGAAAAGAAACCAAGCAAAUGCUUCACUAUUUACAGCUGAAACUCCUAAGUGUGAUCUUGUGAAUAGGUGUUAUAACCUGGAAAUGUUUUAGAAAGGCAGAAUUUUGCAUGUGUUGUUGGAAGCAAGUGGUAAUGAGUGUUGGUAGGUGCAGGUACCCAUUCCAGUGCCUGUCCUGGGAAGCUUGCUUUCAUUAUGUGACUAAAUCAGCCUUCAGGUGGUUUAAAGCUUAUUGUUGUUUGGUUGGUACUUGUAGCAUUUUAUUAUUCAUCAUCACUAAUUUCUGAAAAGCGUAGCUUUAGGUCUAAACUAGAUAUAUGGAUAUAGAGAAGCCAGAAUGGCUACCAGUCAUGCUAGCUACCAGUCAUACAAGUGAUUCUGCACCUCUGGUCCAUGUACCACUUCAAUUUAGGGCCAAAUAAAGCCCCUGGUGAUGAAGACACCUGACACACAAAAUUUCAUAGGGAACAAGACAUGCAGCCCACUUAAAACACUUAAAAGUGUUUCCUUCUGACAUUAGAAUGGGAAAUUAAAGUAUCUCAAAAUUGAAUAUCCUUAAUUUUAACAGAAAUUUUAUUUAUCAUUUUUGGUUAGUAUUUGUUGCAGGUCAGAGUAAACAAGGUAAAUGACAAAUAUCCAGUGCCCUGGAUUUGCCAACUGCCCCAGUUUAUCAGCUGAAUGCAGGAAUUCUUCUGUGCUUUAAUUUAAAAUACAAAAGCCAGUGGACACAUUCUGCCAAUAAGAAAGUUGCAAUUUGUUUACACACAUUAGCAGAAAGAGCCCAGAUGGGAGCCCAGGGAAUUUUCACUUACAAGCAGUAUCAUCACUGGAGUAAGUGGUUUUAAGUUAAUCUUUAAUAAAAUUACAUUUCAAUAGCAUCACCAGCAAUUUCACAACCAGCUGUGUACUUGAAUCUCUUAAAACUUCUGUCUUUUGAUUUGGACACUGAGCUAAGAAAAAUGCAAAGAUCCAAGAGGAGAUUAAAAGGAAACAAAGUACUGAUCAAAGGCAAAUUAGAUCAGCACAGAAUCUGGGUUAUUCCCAGGUGUAAUGCAGACAAACAGAGUGUGCAGAGAACACCCUUGGUAUCUUAAAGGGUUGGCUUCCUCUGCAGCAGAGCCCAGCCAGUGCUUUGUCAAACCCAUUGCACAGGGCAGCAAACAUGGAUUUUGUGCAAGAGUUGAGGCCAGGCUGCCUCUGUGCUCUGUUCCUCCUUUUUUUGUCACAAGGGAAUGGGAGGAGUGUUUGGUGCUGUCUCACUCAUACGUGACCAGUAUUUCCAAAGGAAAGGGAAAGGAACUUGUGUAAGAUGUUCUGCCUGACUAAACCACCACCUCAAGCAUCAGAUGCUGACCUUUGCUGACAUAAAGGAUCAAGGAGAUCCUUGGGAAUAAAACAUGCUUCUAAAGCAUGUAGAUAUCUCUGCGCAUUUCUGGC